Molecule: non-coding RNA, 93 nt
Organism: Mycena crocata
Lineage: Eukaryota; Fungi; Basidiomycota; Agaricomycetes; Agaricales; Mycenaceae
Source: the annotation of a GenBank genome assembly
GGCCUGGUGGUGUAAAGGACAACAUGUCUUUGAUUCAUAUAAACCUCACUGUUGAAUAAGAAGAAGCACCCCGUUCGAUUCGGGGCCAGGCCA